CCUACGGGAGGCAGCAGUGGGGAAUAUUGCGCAAUGGGCGAAAGCCUGACGCAGCGACGCAGCGUGAGGGAUGAAGGUCUUCGGAUCGUAAACCUCUGUCAGCAGGGAAGAACGGUCACUGUGCUAAUCAGAAGUGAAUUGAAGGUACCUGCAAAGGAAGCACCGGCUAAAUCCGUGCCAGCAGCUGCGGUAAUACGGAGGGUGCGAGCGUUAAUCGGAAGUACUGGGCGUAAAGCGCUCGUCGGCGGUAUGUCAAGUCAAGGGUGAAAUCCCCGCGUGCAACGUGGGAACUGCCUUUGAAACGGGCAAACUUGAUUGUAUGAGAGUAUAGUGGAAUUCCAGGUGUAGG
RNAcentral lists this ribosomal RNA (349 nucleotides) under uncultured bacterium. Its description in RNAcentral is "partial 16S ribosomal RNA". It matches the Rfam family "Bacterial small subunit ribosomal RNA", at positions 338 to 679 of the family's 1533-position model. The record is from RNAcentral.